CAGUCGCCGCGGUAAUACAGAGGGUGCGAGCGUUAAUCGGAUUUACUGGGCGUAAAGCGUGCGUAGGCGGCUUCUUAAGUCGGAUGUGAAAUCCCUGAGCUUAACUUAGGAAUUGCAUUCGAUACUGGGAAGCUAGAGUAUGGGAGAGGAUGGUAGAAUUCCAGGUGUAGCGGUGAAAUGCGUAGAGAUCUGGAGGAAUACCGAUGGCGAAGGCGGCCCCCUGGACAAAGACUGACGCUCAGGUGCGAAAGCGUGGGGAGCAAACAGGAUUAGAUACCCCGGUAGUCCCUGUCUCUUAUAC
This 301-nucleotide ribosomal RNA is filed under the name uncultured bacterium. Its description in RNAcentral is "partial 16S ribosomal RNA". It matches the Rfam family "Bacterial small subunit ribosomal RNA", at positions 509 to 807 of the family's 1533-position model. The record is from RNAcentral.